Molecule: ribosomal RNA, 455 nt
Filed under: Escherichia coli
Lineage: Bacteria; Pseudomonadati; Pseudomonadota; Gammaproteobacteria; Enterobacterales; Enterobacteriaceae
Description: partial 23S ribosomal RNA
Rfam family: Bacterial large subunit ribosomal RNA
Source: RNAcentral
ACCGACUAAUGUUGAAAAAUUAGCGGAUGACUUGUGGCUGGGGGUGAAAGGCCAAUCAAACCGGGAGAUAGCUGGUUCUCCCCGAAAGCUAUUUAGGUAGCGCCUCGUGAAUUCAUCUCCGGGGGUAGAGCACUGUUUCGGCAAGGGGGUCAUCCCGACUUACCAACCCGAUGCAAACUGCGAAUACCGGAGAAUGUUAUCACGGGAGACACACGGCGGGUGCUAACGUCCGUCGUGAAGAGGGAAACAACCCAGACCGCCAGCUAAGGUCCCAAAGUCAUGGUUAAGUGGGAAACGAUGUGGGAAGGCCCAGACAGCCAGGAUGUUGGCUUAGAAGCAGCCAUCAUUUAAAGAAAGCGUAAUAGCUCACUGGUCGAGUCGGCCUGCGCGGAAGAUGUAACGGGGCUAAACCAUGCACCGAAGCUGCGGCAGCGACGCUGAUGCGUUGUUGGGUA